CCUACGGGAGGCAGCAGUGGGGAAUAUUGCACAAUGGGGGAAACCCUGAUGCAGCGACGCCGCGUGAGUGAAGAAGUCAUUCGUUAUGUAAAGCUCUAUCAGCAGGGAAGAAAAUGACGGUACCUGAGUAAGAAGCCCCGGCUAACUACGUGCCAGCAGCCGCGGUACUACGUAGGGGGCAAGCGUUAUCCGGAUUUACUGGGUGUAAAGGGAGCGUAGACGGCAGUGCAAGUCUGGAGUGAAAGGCGGGGGCUCAACCCCCGGACUGCUCUGGAAACUGUAAGGCUGGAGUGCAGGAGAGGUAAGUGGAAUUCCUAGUGUAGCGGUGAAAUGCGUAGAUAUUAGGAGGAACACCAGUGGCGAAGGCGGCUUACUGGACUGUAACUGACGUUGAGGCUCGAAAGCGUGGGGAGCAAACAGGAUUAGAUACCCGGGUAGUC
This 440-nucleotide ribosomal RNA is filed under the name uncultured bacterium. RNAcentral's name for it is "partial 16S ribosomal RNA". It matches the Rfam family "Bacterial small subunit ribosomal RNA", at positions 338 to 795 of the family's 1533-position model. The record is from RNAcentral.